RNAcentral lists this small nucleolar RNA (108 nucleotides) under Ipomoea nil (Japanese morning glory). RNAcentral's name for it is "Plant small nucleolar RNA R71". It matches the Rfam family "Plant small nucleolar RNA R71". Rfam says of the family: R71 is a member of the C/D box family of snoRNAs containing the C (UGAUGA) and D (CUGA) box motifs. Multiple nearly identical copies of this snoRNA have been identified in Arabidopsis, and it is thought to function as a 2'-O-ribose methylation guide for 18S ribosomal RNA. Lineage: Eukaryota; Viridiplantae; Streptophyta; Magnoliopsida; Solanales; Convolvulaceae. The record is from Rfam by way of RNAcentral.
UAACCAUGAUGGGGGCAUUGAAUGAGCAACAUCUUGAACCUUUCCCAUGCCUCAUGGAACGGUUCGCCCUCAGCUUGCGAGAAAGUUGCAAUUUUCCUUCUUAACUCC